RNAcentral lists this ribosomal RNA (497 nucleotides) under uncultured bacterium. RNAcentral's name for it is "partial 16S ribosomal RNA". It matches the Rfam family "Bacterial small subunit ribosomal RNA", at positions 28 to 507 of the family's 1533-position model. The record is from RNAcentral.
GAUGAACGCUGGCGGCGUGCCUAAUACAUGCAAGUCGAGCGAACGGACGAGAAGCUUGCUUCUCUGAUGUUAGCGGCGGACGGGUGAGUAACACGUGGAUAACCUACCUAUAAGACUGGGAUAACUUAGGGAAACCGGAGCUCAAUCCGGUUGAUAUUUUCAUCCGCAUGGUUUAAAAGUGAAAGCGGGUAUUGCUGUCACUUAUAGAUGGAUCCGGGCUGCAGUAGCUAGUUGGUACGAUAACGGCUUACCAAGGCAACGAUGCAUAGCCGAGCUGAGAGGAUGAUCGGCCACCCCAGAACGGUGACGCGGUCCAGACUCCUACCGUAGGCGGCAGUGCGGAAUCUUACACAAUGGGCUGAAUCCUGACGGAGCAACGCCGCGCGGGUGAUGAAGCUCUUCGGAUCGGAGUUCUCUGUUAUUAUGGAAGAACAUAUGUGCAAGUAACUGGGCACAUCUUGACGGUACCUAAUCAGAAAGCCACGGCUAACUACGUG